Molecule: ribosomal RNA, 255 nt
Filed under: uncultured bacterium
Lineage: Bacteria
Description: partial 16S ribosomal RNA
Rfam family: Bacterial small subunit ribosomal RNA
Source: RNAcentral
UGGCGGACGGGUGAGUAAUGUCUGGGAAACUGCCUGAUGGAGGGGGAUAACUACUGGAAACGGUAGCUAAUACCGCAUAACGUCGCAAGACCAAAGAGGGGGACCUUCGGGCCUCUUGCCAUCAGAUGUGCCCAGAUGGGAUUAGCUAGUAGGUGGGGUAACGGCUCACCUAGGCGACGAUCCCUAGCUGGUCUGAGAGGAUGACCAGCCACACUGGAACUGAGACACGGUCCAGACUCCUACGGGGGCAGCAUG